UACGGAGGGGGCUAGCGUUGUUCGGAAUUACUGGGCGUAAAGCGCACGUAGGCGGCUUUACAAGUCAGAGGUGAAAGCCCGGAGCUCAACUCCGGAAUUGCCUUUGAGACUGUAUCGCUUGAACACAGGAGAGGUGAGUGGAAUUCCGAGUGUAGAGGUGAAAUUCGUAGAUAUUCGGAAGAACACCAGUGGCGAAGGCGGCUCACUGGACCGUUGUUGACGCUGAGGUGCGAAAGCGUGGGGAGCAAAC
RNAcentral lists this ribosomal RNA (250 nucleotides) under uncultured bacterium. RNAcentral's name for it is "partial 16S ribosomal RNA". It matches the Rfam family "Bacterial small subunit ribosomal RNA", at positions 524 to 773 of the family's 1533-position model. The record is from RNAcentral.